Molecule: ribosomal RNA, 308 nt
Filed under: uncultured bacterium
Lineage: Bacteria
Description: partial 16S ribosomal RNA
Rfam family: Bacterial small subunit ribosomal RNA
Source: RNAcentral
GAGACAGCAGUCGCCGCGGUAAUACGUAGGUGGCAAGCGUUGUCCGGAAUUAUUGGGCGUAAAGGGCUCGCAGGCGGUUUCUUAAGUCUGAUGUGAAAGCCCCCGGCUCAACCGGGGAGGGUCAUUGGAAACUGGGAAACUUGAGUGCAGAAGAGGAGAGUGGAAUUCCACGUGUAGCGGUGAAAUGCGUAGAGAUGUGGAGGAACACCAGUGGCGAAGGCGACUCUCUGGUCUGUGACUGACGCUAAGGAGCGAAAGCGUGGGGAGCGAACAGGAUUAGAUACCCCGGUAGUCCCUGUCUCUUAUAC